GCUGUUACUUAACUUCAAAACUUUGCAUGGCCCACAGGCCAGACAGCGUGCAUGAUCACAGCGUAUGAUUUUUAAAAAUUCUUUCAUUUGAGCAUUUUUUUGAUGAGGAACAGUACUAGCAUGGCUCAGAAAGACAGAGACAGGAACUGGUGGACAGUGCACAUGGAGCUGAGAGCUUCGUUUCCUGUGUUCCUUAUCUUCGUUGGAAUGUUUCACAUCUUUGCUGUUAGAAGUCUCUGGUCCCAUAUUCCUUCCCGCAUUCCUUCAGAGGUCAAGGGUAUCCUCGAGGGUAGAGAGAAACUGACUUUUAGGGCAGUAAGACUGCAGAUUGCAGAGCUGACGGAAGAGCACACAGCGAGGGCGGGGCUUACCUCUCGGGCUGCUGCAGAGUUCCCAGAAACUAGUUUCACUUUCAGCUGCUCUGAGUAAUGGGCAUGGUCUCAGCCCGGAGUACAGUUUUCCCUUUCAUGCAUCCUUAACAAAGAACUAGCGUUUUCCACCAAGCCUCUUGUAACAUACCCAGCUAGCAAAGGCUCUUGCUAACUAACCCGUGUUUACUUGCUUGCGCUGGCGACCAAGCCGUAAUUAACGAUGCUGUAAUUAACAAUGCCGGUCUUGUUAUCAGAGUCUCCCGGGAACACUGUGAGCGGACUCGCCUGCUGAAAUGAGUUGAACCUCUCUGGAUACAUCGUCACCGGUAAACCCAGAGGUGGGCCUCCUAGGCCCAAAUCCAGUCAACUGGACAAUGAAGAUCACCCAUCACAUAUAUAUUUGGACUUAUUCCGACUAUUCCUGUGUUGUCUUUUGCACUACUUUCUUGGUUUAUUUCUUUAUUGAUUUGUCUGCUCCAUUGAAUCCUUUUCUCUGAGUUUUGUGUUGUAUUACAAGUUCUGUGCCAAUUCU
This is a long non-coding RNA of Mus musculus (house mouse), 903 nucleotides long. RefSeq annotates it as predicted gene, 33971. The record is from RefSeq and is a predicted model, not a curated record. Lineage: Eukaryota; Metazoa; Chordata; Mammalia; Rodentia; Muridae. The transcript is spliced from 2 exons.